Jaculus jaculus (lesser Egyptian jerboa) is the source of this 131-nucleotide small nucleolar RNA. NCBI's taxonomy places the organism in Eukaryota, Metazoa, Chordata, Mammalia, Rodentia, Dipodidae. The record is from Ensembl.
AAGCCAUCCAAUUAAUCUGCUUAUCUGAAUGUGUUUCUGAAGAAAUUUAGAAAAAGUUGGCAGUAGUGAUGGCAUCUUACGAGCCUUAAGAAUAACUGAGGUCUUUAAGGUCCCUGAAAAUGGCUACAAUA